GCACAUGCUGCUUCAGCUGUUCUGAAUUUCAGCGAGAACUGCACACCUGAUAUUCUGACACCAUACUUGGAUGGAAUUGUUAGCAAAUUGCUUGUUUUGCUACAGAAUGGGAAACAGAUGGUACAAGAGGGAGCUUUAACAGCUUUGGCAUCUGUUGCAGAUUCUUCUCAGGAACACUUCCAGAAAUACUACGAUGCUGUCAUGCCUUAUCUGAAGGCUAUUUUGAUGAAUGCAACUGACAAGUCCAAUCGUAUGCUACGUGCUAAAUCCAUGGAGUGUAUUAGUUUGGUGGGCAUGGCUGUGGGGAAGGAGAAGUUCAGGGAUGAUGCUAAACAGG
Molecule: long non-coding RNA, 337 nt
Organism: Asparagus officinalis (garden asparagus)
Lineage: Eukaryota; Viridiplantae; Streptophyta; Magnoliopsida; Asparagales; Asparagaceae
Exons: 3
Source: RefSeq, a predicted model, not a curated record